This 421-nucleotide ribosomal RNA is filed under the name uncultured bacterium. RNAcentral describes it as "bacterial SSU rRNA". It matches the Rfam family "Bacterial small subunit ribosomal RNA", at positions 359 to 772 of the family's 1533-position model. The record is from RNAcentral.
GAAUAUUGCGCAAUGGGGGAAACCCUGACGCAGCAACGCCGCGUGAGUGAGGAAGGUCUUCGGAUUGUAAAACUCUUUUAUUUGGGAAAAAUGGUCAUGGAGCUAAUACCCCAUGAUUUGAUGGUACCAAAGGAAUAAGCACCGGCUAACUUCGUGCCAGCAGCCGCGGUAAUACGAAGGGUGCAAGCGUUGUUCGGAAUCAUUGGGCGUAAAGCGCGCGCAGGCGGAUUGACAAGUCAGGUGUGAAAUCUCGGAGCUCAACUCCGAAACUGCGCCUGAAACUAUUAGUCUAGAAUGUCGGAGGGGGCAGGGGAAUUUCACGUGUAGGGGUAAAAUCCGUAGAGAUGUGAAGGAACACCGGAGGCGAAGGCGCCUGCCUGGACGACUAUUGACGCUGAGGCGCGAAAGCGUGGGGAGCAAA